Long non-coding RNA from Cephus cinctus (wheat stem sawfly), 3256 nucleotides. RefSeq lists it as uncharacterized. NCBI's taxonomy places the organism in Eukaryota, Metazoa, Arthropoda, Insecta, Hymenoptera, Cephidae. The transcript has 2 exons. The record is from RefSeq and is a predicted model, not a curated record.
UAGGAUUCCGUAGGGAUCCUGUAUACGUUGCCAGGAGUUCGCGAGCCGGUCGAGGUCGUUCACGAGCGACCUGAAUCGAGUCAAACGGAGACCCUCGACUUCAUCGCAUUUCCAAUGGCUCUUUGCUGGACAUUCUCUCAAAAAUACGUUACACGUAGUCAUUGCGUUAGCCUCUUGGGAUGUAUAUACUAUCUCACAAGUCAAAAUGCCAUUAGGCCCGUCGCUUUGUGUGGAGUAACGAUCUUCUGGGUUCUACAGGCCUUUCAUCAAUUCUAUGGACAAAUAACCUGACGUGCUUUUCUUACCAGUGAACCAACUGUCUAAAUCUCCAUACUCGACUUGCACCUGUAGCUACUUCAUUUUCGAAAAAAUCGUUACCUUUCUGAAAGAAUCCACAAUGUCAGCCUUCGCUUUCUCCCCUUUAUCAAUAAAUAUUAUUACAAAGCCCCCCACAAGCACUAAACUACCUUUGCCGUUCAAUACACACUCUCAAAUAAUAUAGUUCUCUAUUCUAUUCUACGAUUAACCUUGGAUUCGAUUCUUGGCGCGGUUGAGUCUACACUGAGAGGACCCUGUCUGGGUCAGAGUGUGGAUGUCAGAGCUUCCUUAUUCAAUCCCAGCCGGCAUCGAUUGUACUAAAUCGUACAAUCGUUGUCAUCCCUUUAUUAACCGUCACUCAGAAGUGACAUUUCGAUUAAAUAAUAAGAUAAUACCUAUUCGCCAAUUCGUCGAUCCAAAGGCAACUGCUCACCAGUUUCUUUCUCUCGUUCACACUAAAAUAUUUCUCAUUGAAGCGCCACGGCAGUUUCCAAUCCAUUCAAACCGGUCUGUGAAGUCGCGAUGAAAAGCACACUGGACGCGAAGGUACACACGUUCAUACGCCACAUGUUUACGUUCUACGAAAUCUGGUAAAAGCUUCAAACAGAUAUCUGUUCUCUUGUAUCAGUUUCUACGUUACUUCAAACGGAACCGAAAACGGGAACCUCGUUCCUUUAUUUUAAUUCUCAUUGCUUAAAAUUCUAUAACGGUCGCUGUUGCUAAUUAUAUUACAUUCAGCAGCGGCCACUAAUUAUUCGUUCCAGGCGCCUCCUAGCGUUUGCUUUUUUAUUGCCUUGACGUCUAUCGAUUUGCCGGCUUCCCGAUUUCUUGUCACUGGUGACCUGUGACGUGAUAAACUAUCACGAACCUGUUUCGACGACAGGUGGAUCUGCCAACAGUCUUCAGUCACGUGAAUCCAUUUUGUUAAAUACAAAAAUUCUCUUUUAUCGACAGACCCUCACACUUGGGAUUAAUUUCGACUCUCACCUUGCUUAGCUGGUAACGUAAACGUAACGUCCGUAGAAAUUACCGAUAGGGAGUAUUAUCAUAGACUCUCAUAUCAGUUCAGGCUUCCGAGAAUCAAUACAAAAGCUGACCAAUAAGUUUAUUUCUUAGGGUAACAAGGUAGAGACAACGAAAGUGCCGCAUAGGAAGUUUCGUAAUGCGUAACACGGUUUAUCUUUUUUUCACUUGAUCCUGGUGUAGGUCAAGGUCGGGAUCAAUGUGAAUCGGGCCCGAAGCUUCUAACGUAGAUGCGCGCGUCGCUUGGAUGAGACUUAAGGAGCAAAGAGGAGACUGAACGGUGGAAGAAAAAAAUAAUGUUGAGCUAGAAGGAGGAACGGCGGUAACGGGUUCUUGCUUGCACUCGACUCAUGCGAAUCCGUGCGAAAGUGAAGGCAACUUCGAAUUCGUUGUGUAACGCGAGACUUACACUCUCUCGUGCGCACUCCUACCCUUAAGCCUGUACUACGUCCCUACGCCGCGGCGUCCUGUAUGUAACGAAGAGGGAAGAAGGGAAGCACGGAACUCGCCACGACGCGACAAGAAAGCCUUUCUAUCGAUCUGCUCCCAUUUUUUUCUUUUGCUCCAAUUUCACUACGGUCUCUUGAACUCGCUCGUAUGCCCAAUUGUGAAAUCCUAAUCUCGCCCAUGCUCGCUGGUCAAAUUAUGCUAAUCAAAUUGGACGUCUCCUUUAGAUCUUUUGCACUCACUCUUUUCUAAGGCUUUUAGUGUUUCGUAUUAUGAUCAUUGUUCGGAUACUCUUUUCUUUUUUAAGGCAUUAACAAUUAUUUCCAACUGCAAACAUAGAACCGAAUGUUUUUGGCACGAUCGUUCUCACUACCCGUGUGCCGUAGUACCUUGUGUAUUCUGCAAUCUGCAUACAUUUCAUAUGUAUCUCUUAGUUAGCACUAUUUCGGUCUGCCACUUUGGUACUCUACUGAGGAUACCAUGUCUUUUAAUUCUGACAUCUAAUAAAACUAGUAUAAUAAAAUGGAAUUUUGACGUUAAUUUGGAUUUAUUUGAAAUCGAAUGAUAAGAAAGGUUAAUAUGGUAAUUCGAUCGGAAUGGAAUUUGAUAAGUUUGGCGAAAAUAUUUAUUUAAUAUUUUUUGGUAGAUUAUUAUUAUGAGUCAGGCAGGUAAUCUAUACGUAUGGAUGUAUAUAUAAAAAUCUCAUUCCUGCCUGUCGGUUCCGAAUAGGCUCAAAAACUACGAAACCCAUUUUCAUGGAAUUUUUACUGUAACGAGGAGUAGAGGAAAAACGUUAGUUAAAUGCUGCGUGAAAGCUACAGCUUUUAAUAUUAAGCUUACAAGAUACUUUUUUUCUAUUGCUAAGCCUUGACAAAUGUUGGUUUUAUUUCGAAUGCAUUUUCGACGCGAGAAUUUUUAUUCUAGUGUAUUGUGAACCGUGGAGUAUGACGUCAUUUUGCACUGUACUUACAAUAUAUCCACGUGGACGCAUGAUAAGACUCACAUAUUUGAGCGUCAAAGUUGACUCGCGCAGUAUCUCAAUAGCGUUCAUUGUGCAAAUUCAACUCGAAACGAGCCAGUAAUUCGUUCGAUCGAUUUUAUGACCUGAAAUCAGAAUCACUACUCGAGUCCAGUAUCUGUAGUCUCAUCGCGUAAAGCUGUUUGGUUAUCGAUCCUGGCAAACAGACGUUCCUUCAUCCUGAAGUUGCCAAUAAGAGAGGAUUCGGCCAAAAGGAAGUGUGUUUUUUUUUUAAAUGGAAAUAUGCCAAGGCUGUCUUAUGGGAUAUCUUCUUGGAUCAAUGGAACAUGUCAUAUGGAUACGUAGAAGAGAAUUCAAUGUCGAAUGAUCAAAUGAUUCUCAUGUAGUGGAUCUUAUAGUGAUCCUCAACACAAAAGGAGACAGACAAUGGCGUCUCGAUUAAUACCAUAUGCGCAUGUAAAUUAAAUGAAUAAAUACUAAAUGUCCCUA